GGGAGUGAAGGGUGAGGCCAGACUGAGUACAGAAAACUGAGACACAUACGCUUUUAUAAAUAGAUAUGAUUUUUUUUUAUGUUGGCGUGAGCGAUGUUUUGACUCCAUCCUUGUCCAUGUCUCUGGGAUUUAACUUCUGUUGGAGUGAGUUUUGAUCUUCAGUUUUUUUUUUCUCUCCUUUUUUCCCCCUAAAAGUCAUCAGCUGACGUACCAGCUGCUCAUCCUGACACCGCCUCCAGUGAUCUCCUGACCUUUCAACUUUGACCCUUGUAAGAAACAUCCCAUCACCCUCCACUUUACAUUUAAUGACCAGUAAGACUCGUUCAGACCACCUGACACACUUUUACGAGGACGUUCGGACACGUGUGCCUGAAAGAGAUGUCUAAUAAGAUUUUGGUUCUGUUGUCGUAAAACAAGCUUGUGGCUAACAAAACUGCAAAUAAAGAGAAAGGUAUGGUAGCGAACAAAGAGAAAAUUUGAGGGGAGAAAUAUUUUUCAGUAUUUUGUAAGGAGAGAAGUAUAGAGGCCCAAGAAUGGAUCCCUGAGGGACACCUUUUUCUGCUAAAUUAACACUGGUUUCAAGCUUAUUUGUCUCAAGUGAGUCUCAGUUUCACUGUAGGUUACACAGAGGCUUUAAGAGUAACCUUUUUGUGUAAGAUUAAACCAUAAUUACCAGUUUUACGCAAGCCGAAGUAUAAUGAUAAUAAUGAUAAUAAUAAUAAUAAUAAUAAUAAGUGCUUUGACAAACAGUCGUAAAGCACAGAACAUCAACUCUUGUGUAAAUAGAAGAUAACUUUUAGAGACAUAUUAUGUGAGACAACAGACAAUUGAAUUUUCCCUCUGGGAUUAAUAAAGUUCUUCUUAUCAGCACAUGGAAAUAAGAACAAAUAAAAAACAAAAGCUCAGUUAAAAACAAGGCCUCCAUAUUACAGGCCGAUUUCAUUUAUCAUAAAGAACCCAGACAAUUCAAGAACCCUACAACAUAAAAUGAGACCAUGAGGACCAAAAUACAAACAUAGAAUAGGUAAGAAAAAGAAAUGUAAUAAAAAAGUGAGGUAGAAAUAAUAAAUAAAAUCAAUUAAAGGCCCAAAAGGUUAUAUAGGAAAAUAUUAUAAGUAAAACAAAGGCUAAAAGACAGUAAGUCAAAAUAAGAAAAAAGAGAUAAAAAGUAUAACGCCAUGAAGCAAGUUUGUAAAAGUUAAAGCUCCUGUGAGGAACUUGUAUUACAUCUGAUAAAACAGUCUUUGCUUUUCCCAUUUUCAACAUGCUUAAGUAGCUUCCUCUUCUGAUUUUUAUUUAUUGUGAAUAUUUCGCUGACACCUACCCCCUCGCAUCAGUUUCAGGCUUUGAGACUUACAACUUAAAAACUGUCAAUCUUCUUCCUGAUGGUCUUGUCUGCUUUCAUGCAUCAUAAUAAUUAAUCAGUACAAAUUUCAGUCUAUUUCUCACACGUCAAAAAACUCCCCACAGGAGCUUUAAAGUUGUCAAAUCUGUCCUCAACAAGUGAAGAAGAAAACAUCUUUAAAACUUUUGCUUCGGUUGAUCUUCUCUGAUGCGUUCAAGUACAUUAGGAAAUCUGACUGCUGCUGUGCUUUUGUCAACUGUUAGCAUAAAAAGUCUAUGUCAAAUUACUGCUGGUGAGAUCCAGAGUGUCAUCACGGCUUACUUUUAAAACACAUGUACACCGAACCACCUCCCAUACUACAACCCCUCCGAGUACAGAUUCUGUUCCUGGUUUAGCCGGUGAGGACUUUUCCAAGAUGUCCUCCAUCAUGAUUCGAAUCGCCAUCCCUGAGCUCACGACCUCCCUUUAUUAACCUUGAGAGGGUUAACGUCGACUUCUUCCCCCCAGUGAUGUCAUGUUCGGUUGAUGGGGCUGGGGUUGAGGGGGGUCUCGAGGGGGGGGUCUUAGUGUGUCUGUGCUCCAGUGUGUGUGUAUGUGUGUGUGGACUUGCUGGUAGUAGGGGGAGGAAGACAAGGGGGAUCCUAUUUGUUUGUUUUGCCCUCCAGACGUGUCCAAGAGCAGAUUAAGGGAUUUAGCUUUGGGGGGGCUGCACAGGAGGGACUUAAACUCCUCACCCAUUUACAUCCCUGGUUAGUGAACACACACACACACACACAUGCACACAUGCACAUGUUAAAAAGGGCAAAGAAAUCAAGAAGUUUCCUUUUGUCCACGAUAACACAAGCAGCAGCGAGGGGCGCAUGAAUGCAUGGUUUCAGACUGGAUGGACGGGUGAUGGUUGAGGGUGAAAGAGGAAAAGGAAGUGGUGUGUUGACACAGUGAUACCUCUUCCAGCCGUCUGAUCUUCCCUUGUUUUAGUGCUAAUCCCAACUUUAAGCACCAACAGAAUUUAAGACCCCCAGAGCUGGUGGCUUUGUCAGGUUUUGCACGCAACGGUCUGCUUAGAGAACAGGAGCUCCUCUGCAGAUUGUGCGGCGCUUACACAAGUUAAUGUGUGUAUUUUGGGAUUUAACUAAAGCAGACAUGUGGAGAGCAUCACUAAGUGCAUUUUCUCUGAGUGUUUUACUUAAACGUCCCGUGAAGAGCUCUUAUCUGGUUAUGAAACAUGCUGACUUCAGACUCUAUUUACAGAUCAGACAUCGAAAUGUAGAGUCUGGGUUUCAUUUCUGGUGCUGCUGAAUCUAAUCUGUGACUAUCGACACGAAUGUUUUGAUCUUUUAUCGAUUAAUGCUGCGUUCAAGUUACCUUGGAAGUCAGAUGUUACAGCCGAGUUGACAGUGUUCCAGUGAACAAAUCGGAAAACCAAGAUGGACGCCUGUUGUUUCUAGCAGAGGUAGCUGAUUUUCAGCUUCAGACUGGUUCAGUGGUGAGGGAAAAUUACUAAGCAGAUGAUUUUCAGCCAUGCCAGCUGGAUAUGUUGGUCACUGAGUUGGUAGUUGAAUCCCCUUUGGUACUGACUGACAUCUUAACUUCGCUAUGACAUUUAGGUUCUGGCUCGGCUUUCUUAUGGCGCUGAAAAUCGUUCUCUUAGUGGUCUAUGUAAAAGUAGUAAAAUUUGAAUUCUUGAAUUUUAACUUUCUGUGAAGGGAAAAAAGUGACAAAUUUGGGGAUCUAAUGCUGCGUUCAAGUUACCUCGGAAGUCGGAUGUCGGCGCUGGGAAUGGCGUUAGACCCGAGUUGAGGGCGUUCCGGUAAACAAGUCGGAAAACUAAGAUGAAUGCUUACAGUUAGCCGUUGUUAGCUGUUGUUCACAAAUGUUAGCUGUUGUUAGCCGUUGUCAGUUGCUGUUAACUGUUGUUAGCUGUUGUUAGCUAUACCAGUUGUAAACAACACAUAACACAGUAUUUAACUCUACAAACACCAUAGCUCCGUGUUCACAGUUAGACGUUGGGUAGUACAUGUACCACUUAUUUAGUUUCACAAAAGCAAAACAGAGGUGCUAAUAAAUAAAACAUUACGAGAGCUUUCACUGUUACUCUUUACUGUUGAUGCACUGCGCUGCCAUCUUGGAUUAUGACGUUGUCAUUUCGGAGUCAGUUAUCCGACUUCAGGGGGGCGUUCCAGAUGAAUUUCCGACUCUGAGCUCGGAAAUUCCGACUUCUAAGUACAACUGGAACACAUCAUUAAACUAUUUAGGGCAAAAAUACAAUAUUAGGUAGAUACAUUAGAGCUUCACUGGAUCUAACAGGAUGUUUGUGGAUCGAUUUUUCCGAGGGUUAGGGUUUGAUAAUAUGAAGUCAUUGAAAAAUAAAAAAAAGCAUGAAAACAAUUUUCUGUUUUUAUCAGCAAUUAAACGAAUUUGAUGCCAAUUAACUAACCAGACCUUCCAUAUUGUGGCCCCACCACCUCCUCCAUCUAACACCAGCCUGCCACGCGCUCAUUUAUGUGUGUGUGUGUGUGUGUGUGUGUGUGUGUGAGUUUGGAGGGGGUUAAGGGUAGAGAGGCAGAGUUUUUUUUCUUACGGGGUGGGGUGGUGGUGUGGGGGGGUAGUGCAAACAAAUGGACGCACGAACGCCAAGCUCAAAUUCAACCGCAGGUCGGCGGGGCUGGGCCCGGGGCCUGCCGUAGUGCACCUCUUUUGUAAUGUAUAUCAAGUUCACCGGGGGCCUUUUCAUGUGACAGGCCAUUGUUAAAGGGAGGCUAGCCAGCGUUACACUCCCCUCUUAACUCCGCCCACCCGACACGGGAGCAGGUUGGCCCGCAAUUGUUUUAUGGAAAUGCGCGCGGGCCGGGCCGGGUGUCUGCCAGGCGAGGACGAAGAGGAGGAAAGGGGGGGGGGGGGGGGGUCUGUGUCUUCUGUACGAGUGUGUGUGUGUGUGUGUGGGUGGGUGGGUUGGAGGGUGGGGGGCUGGACGUGACGCCGACCCCUUCGAACGCCCCUGACCCUGAGCAGAUGGCAAGGCAGGGUCUCUCCGCUGAGCCAGAAUUAAUAGCGUGUGCCAUGUCACAUUGUCUGAGACGGGCCUGCAAAAAACUCACCCCCCCCCCCUCCCCUCCACCCUCCCACUGCUAUCCUGAUUUUUGCUCCCUUCCUUCCUUCCUCCCUUCCCUAUCUCUCUCCCUCUCUCGCCCCUUUCUUUAAAUAUUCCUUCAAAAUAAAUCUUUAUUUGUUUUUCUCUCCUCAGACAAAAAUCCUCUUAUUUUCUUCUUUCUCUUCUUCUUUAAUUUCUGUCUUUUUACUCACCUUUCUUCCUCUUUCUUCUGAACCAUAAACCCCCCUUUCCUCCCCUCUCUCUCUCUUCUUCUCAACCUCACAUACAUCACAUCACUUUUCUUCCUCAACUCCCCCCCCUCCCACCGCAGCCACAAUC
This is a non-coding RNA of Xyrichtys novacula (pearly razorfish), 4775 nucleotides long. The record is from the annotation of a GenBank genome assembly. NCBI's taxonomy places the organism in Eukaryota, Metazoa, Chordata, Actinopteri, Labriformes, Labridae.